GCAAGUCAUCAUGGGAGAGUCUUUGAAGAUUAUCCAAGCUCUUGGUUCUUGCCUUGCACCCUGCUUCCUGCUCUACUGUCAUGUGACCAGGCUUACCCUAGCCUUGGGCAAAUCCCUUCUGGUGGAGACUCAACCUAACUUUGCUAACAUCACUCGUCCCUGGAGCAAGGACUACAUGUCAAAGCCACCAGCUGCUGUGUUGUUCCCCUCUCUGUCUGCUUAGGAUACCUGUGACUGACCUAGUUCUGAUUCGAGGAUGCCCAAGUGGUCCAGGAGGCCAGAGUAAGGCCAAAAUGGGGCAAAUAUGAGCUAGAGAUCAAAGUCAGGAAGCCAGUAAAGCAUGGAAACUCUAAAGAGCCCAGUUCAAAGGGCCCUGAGGUCCCCAACAAAGACUGGAUGUGCUGACUCACUGGGCCUGGUGUCAGGCCAGACUGUCCUCCCCGCCUCCCCAUGGACCUCAUGGGCACCCACGUCCUGUGCUGUUUCUGUCUACUUGAGCAAUUCUUGCCAUAUUCCUGGCUCUUGCUUCUCAGUCGUAAGCAUCUUUUCAUAAGAACAAGCCCCUCAGGGUUCCCUUGGCACUGCAAAUACGUGCAAAUAAAACCACAGAUAAG
Molecule: long non-coding RNA, 614 nt
Filed under: Cricetulus griseus (Chinese hamster)
Lineage: Eukaryota; Metazoa; Chordata; Mammalia; Rodentia; Cricetidae
Description: lncRNA (ENSCGRG00015032210.1)
Source: RNAcentral